AAAAAAGAGCGGGGGAAUUAUUGGUUGUCGAUACCUGAACGGGGUGGUUCCGAUCAUGGACGAUGCCUUGCAAGCCCUAACAGAGCUUUCUAAUCUCAGUCGCCACCCGUUAAACGGCGGCGAAUUCAACGGCUUAAAUGACGUCGACGGCGAAGAAGAGGAAGAGUAUGACACCGAGGCUUGGGAAACGAUCACAAAGUGUUUCCGGGAGGUACAGUCGGUUCUGGAUCAGAACCGAGCUCUGAUUCAACAGGUGAACGAAAAUCAUCAAUCGAAGCUUCGAGAUAAUCUGGUGAAGAACGUCGCUCUUAUUCGAGAUAUAAAUAGUAAUAUCUCCAAAGUUUCUCGCCUGUACUCUGAUCUCUCCGUAGAUUUCUGCAACAUCGUUAAUCGGCGACGGGAACUUGCUUUGUUUGAAUCUAAAAAUCGCGAUGAUAAUGUGGACAGCGCCGAAUCCUGAGUCAACUCGUUUGGUGAAUCCAAAUCUAGAAUGAUUCGUUGAUUGAUUGCUGAUUUGCGAGGCUGCUUUUGUCUGCAUUCACUGAUGUCCCGCGAACGUGAUUGUGUUUGAGGUAUUUAUGUCAUGUUGAUUGAUUGCUGAUUUGCGAGGCUGCUUUUGUCUGCAUUCACUGAUGUCCCGCGAACGUGAUUGUGUUUGAGGUAUUUAUGUCAU
This 673-nucleotide unclassified non-coding RNA is filed under the name Hevea brasiliensis (rubber tree). The record is from RNAcentral. Lineage: Eukaryota; Viridiplantae; Streptophyta; Magnoliopsida; Malpighiales; Euphorbiaceae.